Molecule: non-coding RNA, 172 nt
Organism: Agrilus planipennis (emerald ash borer)
Lineage: Eukaryota; Metazoa; Arthropoda; Insecta; Coleoptera; Buprestidae
Source: Rfam
AUUUUACAUCCCUUAUUAUUUAAAUUGGCUGAAGAGGACCAACUACACUGGUACUAAAACAGCCUGAGGUAGAGGGGUUUUAGUUGGUAGGCGCUCCUUUAGAGUGAAUCCAACACUACCCUGUCGUACGAACAGCAGGGUAUCUUUUGAAGAUUUCCCCUCUUCCACGAAA